This 216-nucleotide ribosomal RNA is filed under the name Glomeromycotina sp. RNAcentral's name for it is "partial small subunit ribosomal RNA". The stretch from base 40 to 216 matches the Rfam family "Eukaryotic small subunit ribosomal RNA", at positions 686 to 864 of the family's 1831-position model. Lineage: Eukaryota; Fungi; Glomeromycota. The record is from RNAcentral.
GGGUCAGUAGGUUGGUCGUGCCACCGGUACGUACUGGUCUCACUGAUUCCUCCUUCCUGAAGAACCGUUAUGCCAUUAAUUUGGUGUUGCGGGGAAACAGGACUGUUACUUUGAAAAAAUUAGAGUGUUUAAAGCAAGCUAACGCUUGAAUACAUUAGCAUGGAAUAAUGAAAUAGGACGAUCGAUCCUAUUUUGUUGGUUUCUAGGAUUGACGUA